Molecule: ribosomal RNA, 501 nt
Filed under: uncultured Glomeromycotina
Lineage: Eukaryota; Fungi; Glomeromycota
Description: partial small subunit ribosomal RNA
Rfam family: Eukaryotic small subunit ribosomal RNA
Source: RNAcentral
CCAAUAGCGUAUAUUAAAGUUGUUGCAGUUAAAAAGCUCGUAGUUGAAUUUCGGGGUCUGUCCAUUGGUCGGGCUUUACGGUCCGUACUGGGGAGAUGGGUUCCUACCUUCUGAAUAACCAGCAUGCCGUUCAGUUGGUGCGUUGGGGAAGCAGAGCUAUUCCCUUGAAACAACUAGAGUGCUUAAAGCAGGCUAGUGCUUGAAUAGAUUCGCAUGGAAUAAUAAAAUAGGACGGCAUGGUUCUAUUUUGUUGGUUUCUAGGAUCACCGUAAUGAUUAAUAGGGAUAGUUGGGGGCAUUAGUAUUCAAUUGUCAGAGGUGAAAUUCUUGGAUUUAUGAAGACUAACUUCUGCGAAAGCAUUUGCCAAGGAUGUUUUCAUUAAUCAAGAACGAAAGUUAGGGGAUCGAAGACGAUCAGAUACCGUCGUAGUCUUAACCAUAAACUAUGCCGACUAGGGAUCGGACGAUGUUAAUUUUUUAAUGACUCGUUCGGCGCCUUGCG